RNAcentral lists this ribosomal RNA (381 nucleotides) under uncultured eukaryote. RNAcentral's name for it is "SSU rRNA". It matches the Rfam family "Eukaryotic small subunit ribosomal RNA", at positions 587 to 972 of the family's 1831-position model. The record is from RNAcentral.
AGCUCUGUAAGCGUAUACCAAAGUUGUUGCAGUUAAAACGCUCGUAGUCGGAAUUUGGCGGUUCCGGUUGGGCGCGAAUCGCUCGUGCACUUCGCAGGGACUGCUUUUGUGGUGUUGCGUGGGAUGAGGCACUUAACUGUGAACGUCCUUACGCACCCACUCUUUACUGUGAGAAAAUCAGAGUGCUCAAAGCAGGCGAUUGCCGUGAAUGUAUUAGCAUGGAAUAAUAGAAUAGGACUUGGUCUUAUUUUGUUGGUUUGUUAAGGUCGAGUAAUGAUUAAGAGGGACAGUUGGGGGCAUUUGUAUUCCGGCGCUAGAGGUGAAAUUCUUAGAUUGCCGGAAGACAAACUGCUGCGAAAGCGUCUGCCAAGGAUGUUUUCA